This 81-nucleotide microRNA precursor is filed under the name Human alphaherpesvirus 1 (Herpes simplex virus type 1). Lineage: Duplodnaviria; Heunggongvirae; Peploviricota; Herviviricetes; Herpesvirales; Orthoherpesviridae. The record is from RNAcentral.
GCCGGGGUGGUAGAGUUUGACAGGCAAGCAUGUGCGUGUAGAGGCGAGUAGUGCUUGCCUGUCUAACUCGCUAGUCUCGGC